GGACCGGUAGCUCAGGGGUAGAGCAACCGGCUGCAGUUAUCUAUCUGUUAAUCUCCGGUAGGUCUCGCGUUCAAAUCGCGAUCGGUCCU
This is a non-coding RNA of Aspergillus ochraceoroseus IBT 24754, 89 nucleotides long. NCBI's taxonomy places the organism in Eukaryota, Fungi, Ascomycota, Eurotiomycetes, Eurotiales, Aspergillaceae. The record is from the annotation of a RefSeq genome assembly.